This 2408-nucleotide long non-coding RNA is filed under the name Sus scrofa (pig). Its description in RNAcentral is "lncRNA (ENSSSCG00055027728.1)". The record is from RNAcentral. Lineage: Eukaryota; Metazoa; Chordata; Mammalia; Artiodactyla; Suidae.
UUUCCCUCUAAGCACUGCUUUCAGUGCAUCUCAAAAAUUUUGAUAUGUUGUGUUAUCAUGUUGUUAAAAAUAUUUUAUAAUUUCCCUGGUGAUUUCUUCUUUGGUGAUAGUUAUUUAGAAGUAUAUUAUUUAAUUUCCAAAUAACUUGACAUUUUCCAAAUGUUUUCUUUUAUUCAUUUCUAAUUUCCAUUGUGAUAAGAGAACAUAUCCUCUAUAAUUUUAUCUAUUUGAAAUUUAUUGAGACUUGUUUUAUGGCUCAGCAUGUGGUUUAUCUUGGUGAAUAUUUAAUGCACCUGAAAAGAAUGUGAGGUCUUCUUUAAGUAUCAACUACAUAAAGCUGAUUAAUAGUUAUCCAGGUCUUCUCUAUCCUUUUUUAUUAGAUAAACUUGAGACUUUAUUAAGAUUUUUUUAUCAAUAAUUACUUUUUUAACAUUUAUUAUUUUUUUUAUUACUCAGUGAAAUUAUUGCAUUUAAGGUCUUCUCUAUCCUUAUUGAUUUUUUUAUCUACUUGUUCUGAAUUUCUGAGAGGAAUGAUGAGAUAUUUGACUCUAAUUAUAGACUUGUCUGUUUCUCCUAUCAAUUUUUGUUUCAUGCCUUGUGAAACUGUUAUUGGAGAUACAUAUAUAUAUAUAUAUUUAGGUACAUAUGUAUAUAUUUAGGUUUGUUAGUUCCUAGUAAAUUUAUCUCUUUGUCCUCUUAUUUAUUUUUUUAUGGCCACACCCAUGGCAUAUGGAAGUUUCCCAGGCCAGGGUCAAACCCACACCAUAGCAGCUACCUGAGCUGCUGCAGUGACAAUACGGGAUCCUUAACCCACUGCACCACCCAGAAACUCCAGUGUAUGUAUUUAAAAAUUUUACCUACAGCGUUCCUAUUGUGGCAUAGCUGUAACGAACCCAGUUAGUAUCCAUAAGGAUGUGGGUUCGAUCCCUGGCCUUGCUCAGUGGGUUGGAGAUCCUGUGUUGCUGUGGCUGUGGCUUAGGCUGGCAGCUGCAGCUCCGAUUAGAUGCCUAGGCUGGGAACCUCCGUAUCCUGCUGGUUCAGCCCUAAAAAGGAAAAAAAAAUUACUUAACAUAUUUACAAUUUUUAGUAAUCUUAUUUUUGUAUAGAUGUAGGUUUAUAGCUUUUAUUAUAUUUGGAAAGUGGCCCACCCUUUUUUCUUCAAAUAUGUAUCUUUACCUUAGGAAGUAAAGAGAUAUGUCUAAGACAGCCCUGAUCACAUGUCCACAACUCUGAUUAGACUACUUUUAGAGCUGGUAAUGAGUCUUCCAAUAUGUGGUAUAUUUUGUAUAUAAUUGCUUCUCAGCGAAUAUUUGUAGAGCCAUACAUAGAUAUUUCUUUAACACUCUUUAUUUUAAAGUUUAUUUACUUAAGGGGUUCCCAUCGUGGCUCAGUGGUUAGCGAAGCCGACUAGCAUCCAUGAGGACGUGGGUUCGAUUCCUGGCCUUGCUCAGUGGGUUAAGGAUCUGGUAUUGCCAUGAGCUGUGGUGUAGGUUGCAGAUGCAGCUCAGAUCCUGUGUUGCUGUGGUUCUGGCGUAGGCUGGCGGCUACAGUUCUGUUUGGACCCUUAACCUGGAAACUUCCAUAUGCCGCAGAUGCGGCCCUAAAAGGCAAAAAGACAAAUAAGUAAAUAAAUGAAAAUAAAAGUUAUUUAUUUAAAAAGGAAAUACAUGCUCAUGGUAAAUAAUUCAAACUAACUAAAACGUAUAUACUGUGAAAAAUAAGUCCUUUAUUUUUUUCAACAGAGUUACCAAUGCCCUACUCCUCCUAAGGAAACCACAUUUUUAUCCUCCCAGAAAUUUCUGGGCAUGUUCAAGCAUGUUCAACGAAUAUAUGGAUAUAUAUUCUUUUAAAAUUCCUUUACCCAAGUGCUAGCAUAUUAUAUAUACUGUUUGGCAUCUUGUUUUAACUUCACAGGUCUUGGUAACCGUUCCAUAAUCAGCAUAUAUAAAACUACUUUAUUCUUUCAUUGUCUGCAGAAUGUUACAGCAUAUGGGUUAUGGUUAUGGUUAAGGCUAGGGUUUAUAUCAUAAUUUAACUGGUGCCCUGUUGAUGGACAUUAAGUUGCCUCCAGUCUUUUGUUACUGCAAACAGUGUUGCAGUGAAUAUUCUACUUAUUUAACGCUAUAACUUAGGACAUAAGUCAGGUUCUCUAGCACAAGGGGCCAUGCUGAUGUUCUCUGUGUCAUUUAAAUUUUUGCUUUAUGCUGUGAACAUUUGUUUGAAUGUUUAAAAUCUGGCCUUGGAGUUCCCAUUGUGACUCAGGGGAAACGAACCUGACUAGUAUCCAUGAGGAUGCGGGUUCCAUCCCUGGCAGGUUCCAUCCCUGGCACCGAUGUUGCUAUGGCAUAGGCUUGAAGCUACAGCUUGGAUCCGACCCCUAGCCUGGGAAUUUCCAUAUACUGCAGAUU